Chenopodium quinoa (quinoa) is the source of this 849-nucleotide long non-coding RNA. RefSeq lists it as uncharacterized. NCBI's taxonomy places the organism in Eukaryota, Viridiplantae, Streptophyta, Magnoliopsida, Caryophyllales, Amaranthaceae. The transcript has 4 exons. The record is from RefSeq and is a predicted model, not a curated record.
CUAAUUGGGUUGGGUACUAGUUCGGGUUCGGAUCGUUGUCGGGUUGAGUUAAAUCAGUUGUCAAUUACUAUCAGGUCUGGUGCAGUUCCAGGACAUAAAGUAUUGGAUCAAAUCGGUUCAGGUUGUGUCGGGUUCGGUUCGGAUUACAGGUCACUAGUUUCACCCCAUUUGUUCGAGUACAUAUUGGGUUCAGAUUAUUGCCGAUUUAGGUCAGGUCCAGUUUUUGACAGCUUUAGGUAGGAGUUAAAAAAUAAAAAAUGUUUACUCCAUAAACCAUAGCGUAGAAUCUAAUUUUCCACCGUCUCCACGGAUAAAUUACCCCCAUGGCGGUGAAAAAGACGAUGAUCAUUGAUCAAUCUGCUUUCAAGUUUCAACAGCUCUACCCGAAAUUCCUGGACUAUGCUCGAAUUCGAACAAAUUGUUGAACAUCAACGUCUCAAAUGGACCCCAUUUCUUUUAGCUACGCCUGUAAAUUUGUCAAUUUUUAGGAUAGGGAACUGUUUUUUAUUAGAUCAGUGUCUAAAAUUGGAGCUUCUUCAAAUUCUAUCGUCAUAAAAGGCACUCGUGAGGCAAUAUUCAUCAGAAUUUAUUGGCACUCAGCAACUGGGGUUUUCCAGCCCGCAGCGUGGGUAGAGAAAGAAAGUUUUGGAUCUCAAAUGCGGCCAUCUUAGCCUUGUACGCCGCAGAAAUAUAAUACCCCCUGUGAGUCCUUGGUAGCUCAUCUCCAUUUAUCUUAACUAAUAUUUAUGUUUAAUGUACAGUAUCUCUAUGCUUCAUAGUCUGUUUCGCUCUCAUUAAAAUUUGAAAUUGAGUUACAAUAGUUUAUGAAGAUGAAUGGUUUAGUUAACA